GGCCGCCUGGCGAAAUGGCAUCGCGUCUGACUACGAAAACUGCACGACCUCCCGGCAUUGGGAGUGGUAUCAAAAGAUUGCAGGCUAGACCCCUGCGAUGGUCA
Molecule: non-coding RNA, 104 nt
Organism: Trametes punicea
Lineage: Eukaryota; Fungi; Basidiomycota; Agaricomycetes; Polyporales; Polyporaceae
Source: the annotation of a GenBank genome assembly